RNAcentral lists this ribosomal RNA (620 nucleotides) under Pseudomonas aeruginosa. RNAcentral's name for it is "bacterial SSU rRNA". It matches the Rfam family "Bacterial small subunit ribosomal RNA", at positions 72 to 688 of the family's 1533-position model. Lineage: Bacteria; Pseudomonadati; Pseudomonadota; Gammaproteobacteria; Pseudomonadales; Pseudomonadaceae. The record is from RNAcentral. RNAcentral also lists the same sequence under 1 other name.
AAGGGAGCUUGCUCCUGGAUUCAGCGGCGGACGGGUGAGUAAUGCCUAGGAAUCUGCCUGGUAGUGGGGGAUAACGUCCGGAAACGGGCGCUAAUACCGCAUACGUCCUGAGGGAGAAAGUGGGGGAUCUUCGGACCUCACGCUAUCAGAUGAGCCUAGGUCGGAUUAGCUAGUUGGUGGGGUAAAGGCCUACCAAGGCGACGAUCCGUAACUGGUCUGAGAGGAUGAUCAGUCACACUGGAACUGAGACACGGUCCAGACUCCUACGGGAGGCAGCAGUGGGGAAUAUUGGACAAUGGGCGAAAGCCUGAUCCAGCCAUGCCGCGUGUGUGAAGAAGGUCUUCGGAUUGUAAAGCACUUUAAGUUGGGAGGAAGGGCAGUAAGUUAAUACCUUGCUGUUUUGACGUUACCAACAGAAUAAGCACCGGCUAACUUCGUGCCAGCAGCCGCGGUAAUACGAAGGGUGCAAGCGUUAAUCGGAAUUACUGGGCGUAAAGCGCGCGUAGGUGGUUCAGCAAGUUGGAUGUGAAAUCCCCGGGCUCAACCUGGGAACUGCAUCCAAAACUACUGAGCUAGAGUACGGUAGAGGGUGGUGGAAUUUCCUGUGUAGCGGUGAAAUG